This 285-nucleotide long non-coding RNA is filed under the name Olea europaea (common olive). RNAcentral describes it as "long non-coding RNA (OEUR_LNC013654)". Lineage: Eukaryota; Viridiplantae; Streptophyta; Magnoliopsida; Lamiales; Oleaceae. The record is from RNAcentral.
UUAGUCUCUAGAUUUUUCGAGUCUCUCUCUUCUGGACUCUCAGUCUUUUUCUUCUGGUUUCUUCGAUCUUUGAUCUCUUAUGAGUUGUCUGGCCAAAAUAUUGGUUGAGUCUAUGUGAUUCAUGUUGCUACAGUAAUCAAGCCUGAAAUAGUGGCUGAUUGGGUGUAUGUAGUGGUUGCCUGAAAGUUUUAUUCGUGUUUUUUGGUUAGGUCUUAAGGUCUUUUCUGAAACUAGUUUUCCAGCCGUGCAAUGCACGGGCUAUGUCAUUUUUUAGGCAAUAUUUAU